RNA transcript from Macadamia integrifolia, 1862 nucleotides. It is a transcript of the gene named histone-lysine N-methyltransferase ASHH2-like, with no coding region annotated. Lineage: Eukaryota; Viridiplantae; Streptophyta; Magnoliopsida; Proteales; Proteaceae. The transcript is spliced from 3 exons. The record is from RefSeq and is a predicted model, not a curated record.
CAAACCUACAGAAAUCAUUUCUCCCAAACUAUGUGAACUAGAUGUUGCCUUUUCUAAUGUUCUUAUUAUCAAAUUGUUUAAGCUUUUCUACUCUUGGUCUUGAUAUGUUAUUUCUGUGCAGCUUUAAGGACUCAAUACUUACACUGACAAGACAUUCUGAUGUACAGGUUCAUCACAUUGCAAGAACCUUCCGAGAUAGAUGGAUUUCCCUUUACAGCAGAAGGUUUAGCAACUUUGACAGAGAUGAUAGCAAGUUGGAGCCCCAUUACGGGCUGAAUAGCAAUUGGUUUGCAUCAUCAUAUAAAGGUUGGCAUGACCAAGGCCUGAGGCCUUCAGAAGUAAUCAAUUGCAUUAGUCCAGCAACAGUUGCACAAACUCCUGUUGAAACUAAUACACAGGAGGGCAGUUCUGAACCUCCUGUUGGCAGCUGCCCAGUUAGUGGGACAAGGAAACGCAAGCGUAAGAGUCGCUGGGAUCAGCCUGCAGAGGUGAAAGACAAUCCACCACCUCAGCAUAGUGAAGGGAAAAUUGAGCCAAGUUCAGGACAGGAAAUGGAUCCAAGCCCACAGAAGCUUGAUAUCGGUGAGACAGUGCAGGACCAGGUAAUCAAUGUUAACAAAGGAAAAAGCGCAUGCAAUGUAUGCGGUCAAAAACUUCCUCGGCAAGGUGAAGCUACUACUAUGGUUGAUGCAGUGCAGAACAUCCAAGAUGUGCCACCUGGGUUUUUACCUCGUCCUAAUGGUCCACCAGUUCCAUCCAAUGUUGGUGCAGCUGAUACUGUGUGUCUUUACCCACAUAUUGCUAUCCCUUCAAGCUGUGGUUUUGAAGUGAUUACAGGACAUACCCAGAAGAAGUUCCUUCCUCACUUGCCUGUGUCAUAUGGUAUACAACUCCCGCUUGUACAGCAGUUGGGAAUGCUCCAGAGAGGAACUAUUGACUGUUGGUCAAUUGCACCAGGUGUUCCUUUCCAUCCCUUCCCACCGUUACCUCCAUUCCCGCGUGAGAAAAGCAAUCCUCUAUCCUCACCACCUUCUCAUGUUCCUAUGGUGAUGGAUGGACAUGGAGGAGUCCAGCAGCCCAGCCACUGUGUGGCAGCGCAUAGCAUGGAUCGAAACAUUCUGUGUACAUCAGGGGCUAGACCAGAUGUGUCAGUUGCCCGAGAAAAUAACCAGAAUUAUUUAGUGAAUGAUUCAUCGUAUGGCUUCGGGAGGAGGUGCGUCAAUCAGAAGAAUUGGAAUGAUCAUGUAACCCCAGGGUUGCCCUGGAAAAGGAAUGAUUUGGGGUUCAAUGGAAACAACUAAAGAAACGGAGUGUGCAGUAUAGGAUUAGGACAUGUAGGAAAUGAGAUUCGGGGUCAUAGUAAUUCACAAGGUGUAAACAAUGGAAGCGAGGAUGUUCACUCUUCUUUCCAUCAGCAUACACAACAUGUUCACAAUGUAUAAACAAUGGAAGCGAGGAUGUUUGCUCUUCUUUCCAUCAACAUACAAAACAUGUUCACAAGGUGUAAACAAUGGAAGCAAGGAUGGUUGCUCUUCUUUCCAUCAACAUACCCAUGUUCACAAGGUGUAAACAAUGGAAGUGAGGAUGUUUGCUCUUAUUUCCAUCAACAUAUACAACACCAAUAUCAACAUUGAUUUAAACAAAAGCUGAAUAUCAAGAGAAAGAAGAGGGGAAGUUUCUGUGAGUCCAAUAGUCCAAGCCAUCUGCGGUUGUGACAGGUAUGUGUACACUUUUUUGUGCUUAUCUGAAAAUUGAUAAGAUCGGCAACCUUAAAGUUCACAAACUCUAUCGUUUUCAGAGAGAGAGAGAGAGAGUUGAUUCUGAAACCCCUUCCUCUUGCUCUAAUGGACACUGAAGCAAGU